This 402-nucleotide ribosomal RNA is filed under the name Triticum aestivum (bread wheat). RNAcentral's name for it is "partial small subunit ribosomal RNA". Lineage: Eukaryota; Viridiplantae; Streptophyta; Magnoliopsida; Poales; Poaceae. The record is from RNAcentral.
AUGUCGCAGUUUUGGUGGGGUGACGAGGACAAUCAGAAGAGGAUGCAUUGGAUGGCAUGGUGAAAAAUGUGUGUUCCAAAAUAUCAAGGAGGUAUGGGCUUCUGAGAUAUACACUGUUUCAACCUGGCGCUAUUAGCUAAACAAGCGUGGCGUCUACUCGAUAAUCCGGAAUCUUUAUGUGCAACCAUCUUGAGAGCUAAAUAUUUCCCUGAGGGAGAUUUGAUGAACGAAAGUUUAAAGAAGGGAUCCUCCUUUACUUGGCAAAGCAUUAUGGCGGGAAUGGACUCUUUGAGAAAUGGUUAUAUCUGGCGAGUUGGAAAUGGACAAAACAUCGAUAUUUGGAGAGAUGCGUGGAUUCCGAAUUGUGCGAAUAGGAAAAUUAUUACUCCUAGAGGUGGGUAA